This 818-nucleotide long non-coding RNA is filed under the name Glycine max (soybean). RNAcentral describes it as "long non-coding RNA (GMAX_LNC000086)". The record is from RNAcentral. Lineage: Eukaryota; Viridiplantae; Streptophyta; Magnoliopsida; Fabales; Fabaceae.
UAGGCAGUUUGACAAUGGAAGGUGAAGGAAAUAAGCUAUGAAAGUAAGCAGGAAAUUAAAGUGCAAGAAAUGUAAACUAGGCAAAUCCUAAGAGUGUUUAGAUGACCUCAUUUAAGGUUCCCAACAAAACACUCACUAUCCUAAGGGAAAAUUGCCUCAAAUUAUUACACACAAAUGGAAGUUUGGUAACCUAUUGGAGGCUCCCAACACACUUCCAAUGAAAGGCCUUUUUGUUACAAAAUCUUGAAAGCAAUGAAGGUAAGUAAAUUUCCAAUUACAAAAUUACAAAACGGUCCUCAAUUUUGGUGGUUGUUCUCCCUUUGGUGAUUCACUCAAUUUGGAGUGCUUCUUAGUCCAAUAGCUCUUAAUGUGGUUGGCCCCAUGCUUCUUGACUCAAAUUCUUCAAGGGAUGGCACCAAUCCUCCUUUCUAAUUCCCUAUAUAGCUACUCACAAACAAGGAAACAAAGAGACAAGCAAUAACCAAAGACCAAAAAAUGAAAUGAAAGCUAAAACAAUAGAGUUUUAACAAGACAAAUUUUCAAGCAUUAUUCAACAAUUAAAGCAAUGAAAAUCACAUAAAAGCAAGCUAGGACUCAAAGAGAAACCUAGAAUGGCUCUAGAGUAGAGUAAAAAAAACUAAAAAAAAAAAUAAGACUCAAGAAACCUCUUGUUUUGGAACUUGUUUUCACACUAAUUUUCAAUUGAACUUUCAGAACUAAGAUUAGUAUAAAAUAGGCACCAAUUAUAGAACAAAUUUCGAGCCAAAACAACAAGCACACUUCCCUUUCACUUUUUUUUUCCUGGACACUGAUUUUCC